Molecule: non-coding RNA, 79 nt
Organism: Armillaria luteobubalina
Lineage: Eukaryota; Fungi; Basidiomycota; Agaricomycetes; Agaricales; Physalacriaceae
Source: the annotation of a GenBank genome assembly
GGCCUUAUGGUCUAGUCGCAUGAUUCCUCGUUUGGGUUAAAAUUCGAGGAGGUCCUGGGUUCAAUUCCCAGUGAGGCCC